This 28-nucleotide non-coding RNA is filed under the name Bombyx mori (domestic silkworm). The record is from RNAcentral. Lineage: Eukaryota; Metazoa; Arthropoda; Insecta; Lepidoptera; Bombycidae.
UAGAUUCAUUGGUAGUACAUCGGUUGGU